This 69-nucleotide transfer RNA is filed under the name Paroster mesosturtensis. Its description in RNAcentral is "tRNA-Gln". It matches the Rfam family "tRNA". From Rfam's summary of the family: Transfer RNA (tRNA) molecules are approximately 80 nucleotides in length. Their secondary structure includes four short double-helical elements and three loops (D, anti-codon, and T loops). Lineage: Eukaryota; Metazoa; Arthropoda; Insecta; Coleoptera; Dytiscidae. The record is from RNAcentral.
UAUAUUUUAGUAUAAGGUGUAUAAAAGUUUUUGAUUCUUUUGGAAAUAGUUUGAUUCUAUUAAAUAUAA